Molecule: ribosomal RNA, 400 nt
Filed under: uncultured Glomeromycotina
Lineage: Eukaryota; Fungi; Glomeromycota
Description: SSU rRNA
Rfam family: Eukaryotic small subunit ribosomal RNA
Source: RNAcentral
AGCAGCCGCGGUAAAUUCCAGCUCCAAUAGCGUAUAUUAAAGUUGUUGCAGUUAAAAAGCUCGUAGUUGAAUUUCGGAGUUUGUCGGUUGGUCGGGCUUCACUGUCCGCACUGACCUGAUGGACUCCUACCUUCUGAAUAACCAGCAUGCCAUUAAUUUAGUGCGUUGGGGAAGCAGAGCUAUUACCUUGAAAAAAUUAGAGUGCUUAAAGCAGGCUUGUGCUUGAAUAGAUUAGCAUGGAAUAAUAAAAUAGGACGGCAUGGUUCUAUUUUGUUGGUUUCUAGGAUCACCGUAAUGAUUAAUAGGGAUAGUUGGGGGCAUUAGUAUUCAAUUGUCAGAGGUGAAAUUCUUGGAUUUAUUGAAGACUAACUUCUGCGAAAGCAUUUGCCAAGGAUGUUUU